This 1759-nucleotide long non-coding RNA is filed under the name Zonotrichia albicollis (white-throated sparrow). RNAcentral's name for it is "lncRNA (ENSZALG00000004920.1)". The record is from RNAcentral. Lineage: Eukaryota; Metazoa; Chordata; Aves; Passeriformes; Passerellidae.
AACUGAGUGCAGAAGGAAAGCCAGCCUGUUCUCUCCCUGAGAUCCCCCUCGGGAGUUAGAGAAGAACAGCUACAGAACUAUUCUCUGCCAGGCUCCAAGAGACACCAGCUCUGCAGGUCAGCAGCUUCUCCCGUACCUGGACAACACGUCAGGCCUGACUGGGAGAAGCAGAGAUUCCACUUUGCAACUUGCAGGGCUGGGAAUCUGUGAGUGUCAGGGAGGCUAGGGAGGACACAAACAGCGGGACACAGACACACAAAUAUCCAUUCCUGAGAUCUCCUUGUCUUCCCCUCAAUUUCUGCCACUGUGUGCAUUCCUGCACACUCAGGCUGCCCCACAGCCCCAUCCUGCUCCGUGGUAGCUCUGAACUCUGGCACCUACUGCAGUCCCCCCUACUCUUGCCCAGCCACGCUCGCACACAGCAGGAAGCCAGAGGAGCAGAGCACAAGCAGCUCAUGACUGCCUGCAGGUGUCAUUGCCCACCGUUCCUGGGCAGCCAAGAGCCUUGGUGACAUUUCAGACUGCCGCUGCCUCCCCUGCCCACCCACACAGAGACGCAUCUCUUGCUCUGCACCUCUCCUCUUUGCACACCUCUGUGUCUGUGCUGGCACCAGGGGCAGGUGCCUGGAAGGAGGGGGCCUUUCUCCAUGGAUUUCCACCGGUUCCUUGUGGCCAUGCUGCUCCCUGUGGGCUGGGCCCUUCAGCAAUCACCAGAUACAGUUGUCCGGGUGGGAGACACCAUCACUCUGGAAUGUUCUGCAUCAGGGAAAACUUUUGUGAACAUGUACUGGUACAAGUUACCCAUGGAGAAGGAUGCCAGAAUGCAGCUGGUUGUGUACUCAGUGGAAGGUGGCAAAGCAGAUAUUGAGAAGGAAUUCCAACAUCGCUUCCAGAGUAACGGGACCAGGAACAACCAUUUAGCUGUGCAGAUACAGCAUGCCCUACUCAAUGACACAGGCACAUAUUUCUGUGCUGAACAAGAUCCACAGUGAGUCAAAGGCUGGUGCAGCACAGCACAAACCUUUCCAGGCAGACAGGGAUCUGCCACCAGCACACAUUGAGCCCUGUUUGAGUAAACUCCUUUUUUACUUGCCCCCCAGCUCUUCAGAAAAACACUAUAUAACUGUCUGUCUGUCUUUCUGUCCAUCUAUCUGAUCAUCAAUCUGUCUUUACCUUGGUCUCUAGCUACUUUUCUAUUCUUUCCCAUCUCUGAAUCACUUUCUCACUCUCAAUUCUUUCUGUCCUCACUGUCUGACCUCCAUUAUAUCCCAUUCAGAUUGUUUCUGACUUUGCUCUUUUCACGUCAUUCUGUCUGUCCCCCUGAAUUUUCUUCUCUGUCCUCUCAUACCUAAUCCCCUCCUAUUUCCUCUUCCCUUCCUCCUCCUUCUCUCCUUCCCUCCAAUCUGUUACAUCAAUUCUUGGCCAGGAAAGCAGGAUGUGGAAGAGUUCACACAGCACGUUCCCUCUCCACCAGCUGGAAAGGCAAAGCCCACCGGUCCUUGUCCCCACUGGCCUGCAGGGAAUCGACACACAGCCCAUGUUACACCCAUGCCCUGUGACCUGAACAAUCUGAUGUCUGAGAAUUGUCCCUGCCCACAGCAGGAGGCUGCCCAGGUGAGCCAUGGAAUGUCCCUGGUGACCAGGACAAGGACCAGGAGGAAGAAGCCCAAGAGGAGUUUUCAGCAGGGCUUGUUGGUGUCUCUGAGCAUCUUGUCUGGUCCAUCCACUCCAUCUCCUGCUGCUUGCUUAAAGUCACGAG